UACGUAGGGUGCAAGCGUUAAUCGGAAUUACUGGGCGUAAAGCGUGCGCAGGCGGUUAUGCAAGACAGAGGUGAAAUCCCCGGGCUCAACCUGGGAACUGCCUUUGUGACUGCAUGGCUAGAGUACGGUAGAGGGGGAUGGAAUUCCGCGUGUAGCAGUGAAAUGCGUAGAGAUGUGGAGGAACACCGAUGGCGAAGGCAGCCCCCUGGGUCAAGACUGACGCUCAUGCACGAAAGCGUGGGGAGCAAACAGG
Molecule: ribosomal RNA, 253 nt
Filed under: uncultured bacterium
Lineage: Bacteria
Description: partial 16S ribosomal RNA
Rfam family: Bacterial small subunit ribosomal RNA
Source: RNAcentral